This 1058-nucleotide long non-coding RNA is filed under the name Lactuca sativa (garden lettuce). RNAcentral's name for it is "long non-coding RNA (LSAT_LNC007140)". Lineage: Eukaryota; Viridiplantae; Streptophyta; Magnoliopsida; Asterales; Asteraceae. The record is from RNAcentral.
CUAAGUUAAUAAUUGCUUCCAUACUUCAUCUUUUACAAAGAUCACACUAAAGAGUUUCUUACACUCUUUCUCACCCAAUUUUACACACAAACACUCUUUCCCUUCACAGCCAAAUUCUGUACAAUCAAAAUCAUGUAAAUAAAAUUGAUACGAUCAGAUCUUCUUUGAUCUUCAAACUCAAAGAAAAGUACAUUGAAAUCUAUUCAAAAAGAUGAUAUCUUUCCUUCCCGUCUAUGGAUCUUCAACCAAAGAAGAAGAAGAACAAGCGACUGUCCAUCCCCCUUCCUCCCCCUCGUUCUUUCCCCUGUCAAAAAUCAAACACCAAACGAACCAAUCUUUUCACCCUCCAUCGAUUUCUGUCAAAACAAGAACAAAAGAGUUUACACACAAAAGAAAACGUGUUUGUAAUUUUUUUUCUUAAUGGAAGCUGAAACCAAGAGAACAGCAGUCCUCUUUCGAUCAUUAUUCUUUCCCACUAAAUUCAGCACAUUUUUGCAUCAUCUUCCUUCCCUGUAGAAUGAAACAAACAAAAAACACCUUUUAUUCGAAAUUUCUGCCUGUUUCAUCAUCAUUUGUGUGGAUUGCAAAUCAAAAAAAAAAAAAAAAAAAAAAAAAAAAAUAACAGGAAGCAAGAAGGUUACCUGUCGAGCCUCACUGCCCCGUUCUUCCCUUCUUCGGUUCACUCAAACAACGAGGGUGUUUCCCCUUCUCACCCACGACUCAGCAGCCCCGGCACCUCCCCCUUUAUUCCUUUCCUUCGGUCUCUUCGACCCAGAGACUCCUCCCUCUCGCGAAUCAACCGACGAAGCGCGCCUGCGAGCUUUCGUCUUCCUUCGUUCUUUGCUUUCGUGCCCCUCUUCCUUGCUCAACGAAUCAGCCAGUCAUCAAGCCGUUGUUUUUUUCUCUCUACGUUCGUUUUCCUUUCCCAGCCGAUGACUUUUGUUGUUCCUCCGCUUUCCCGAUUCGUUGAAGUCAAUGGCAAUUAAAAGCCCUAAUUUUCCCUUAGUUUAGAACCUUAAACGCAAUUAGGUGUUUGCCUAAUCUUUUCAAAGGCAAAA